GCAUUUUUAACUGUCAUAAUGCAAUCGUAUGCUCGAACAGCAUCAAUUGCUGGCUCAAAAUUGAACUUCUCUCCAUACUUGCGACGAAACAUAUUCAAGAAUUUAGAUCUGAAUCCUCUAUAUGCCUGGUUUUUGGGACGGUAGGUGAUUAUUCCUAUCGCAUCUUCAACAGGGGAGGAGAUUGCUGAAUGAUCUACUGAAGUUAGGAGAUUGGUGAAUGGUUUUUCAGCAAAUAUCCAAAUUGAAUCUCCGUAGAAGAGUCCCAUCUUCUUUGCUUCUUUGACAAAAUGAGUGCUUCUGGGUGACGACAAUCCUAGAACAAUAAAGAUUGGAGAUGCCUUUCCCUUCAGCUUCAUUAAAUUUUCUUCCAAAGACACUUCUGCUCCAGUUGGAGAUGAGAAUGCUUGAAGAAUCAGCUGGUCCUCUAUUGUUGAGCCGAUUUUUCCAAGCUCCUCUGACAAAGAAUUUAACAGCUUGGAGUACAUAGCAUCGUACGCCCCAGCCUCAUAUAUUAUUGAUACUCUUUGCCUGUUAUAAGAACCAACUACAUCUACGAUGCAUUUAAUUUGGUCGGAUUCAUUGGUACUCAUUCGAAACAGUGAAGGCCAUAGAGUUUGUGCCAUCAAUGUCGGUGUUACAUGGUCUCUGGCAAGGGAUAUGACUGGUAUCUGAGAUUGACUAGCAAUUUCGGCUACUAAAGUUGCUCCCUCCCAUGUCUCCAAGCCAAUAAUAACUUGCACAUUCUUCCUUUUGAUCAGCUUUUCAGCUGUUAAAACGGAAAAAAAGGGGAAAUCAUUAUACUUAAUUUUCGGAUUUAAGGGAUUUUUCUUUGCCAAUUUCUUCUGUUCAUAUCACUUAUUUAACCCUACUAAUUGGGUUCUUGGAAGAGAUUAUUUCAUCUCAACGGACAUUAGUGAGAUACAUGUCUAUGAGGAAGAAAAUCAAUCUACUGUAGUUAUAACAAAUCGUGCAAAAGCUUAUAGAUCCUUGUGUAUAUCAAGUACAAUUUGGUCAAUAAAGAAAGGGUUGCUUUUCUGCAAUGGUAAAAGAAUCAAGAAGUUCAUCCAUAACUCUUUUGGUGAAUGAUUUGACAUAAUCAUGGGGUGUCUUAAAUACACAACUUUAUUCUGUAAGGGUCUCAUUGUGUAGCAAUAUUACUAAACUGAACAACUUAUAGUAAACAUUCAGCACAUGCAGUGGAGAAAAAAGUAACAACAGGUACGUAAUCUCAAAGCAGACUUGGGGUGGUUUUUUCCUGUCACUGCUCGUGGCAACUGACAUGUUUCCAACAAAAAAAGUCGAAAUUAUUGCUGGCCGGAGUUACCAAACUGAGGAAGGGCAAGGAUUGACUAACCGGCUGAAAUUGCAUGAAGGGACUUCGCGUGGGAGUUUAUGUAAUACGGCUUCAUGAGAUGACUUCCUGAUGACGAGAUGCUGUUCACGUCUUGGCAUGCUAUCUCGAUCGCCAUACGCAUUUGGUUGCCGAGAUGUGAGUCCAAAUCAAGAAUCACGCCCACUUUGAACACGUUCCUCUCGUCUACGGCUUUGGUGGCUACACCAGAGUAGCUCGGGACGAGGAGCAGCGAGAGCAAGAGGAACAACCUCGAAAUGGACGGAACGUGUCUCCUACUUCUGUUACCCGAGCUUUGAAGAAAACCCAUGACGAAAACCUGAAUAACUCCUCAUAAACUAGAACAAGUGUCGAACUGUAUUGCUUUGCAAAUAAUUGUUGUGUGUUUGUCAUAAAAGGGGCGACCCAUUUCACAAUUCCUCCGUACAUAUAGUGAAGGGGGCGAGGGGUACACGUAAGUGCAAAGGAAGUGAUUUUCCAGGGAGAAAGGGAAGGAAAAUGAUUGAAUGCAAAUGUUUGGCAGCGUGUGGGGCAUGUACCGAAAAGUCAGUAUUGAAUUGGUCUUUCUAGGACUAAAGUGGUAUUUUUAAUUUCUUCCCGGAAAGUGUUUCUUGGACUGAAGCGAAGAGUCAAUGGUCAGUUCUCAUGGGGGGAGCCCACCCUGAUACUUCUGAGAUUCGAACUCUCGUGGACUUUGACACUGGAGACCAAGUCAUUGCCUGUUUUAAUGGCAUUAGGAUUCCAAUGUAGCCAAACUUUCAAAGGAUAUCAGUCUUCUCAUCCCUGAGCCACAAAUUCGCGAUCGGGAUGCUGUGGAAUGGGUCCAACUUUUCAGCGAUCGGGAAUAUUUCUUCAGUACUAGAAGAUAAUUGUAUUUGUCACUGUGUAAUAGAUUCAUUAGUCCCGUCAAAUCAAAUUGAUAGAAUCUUGAAGCGGGCACCUAGGGGUGCCCAUCAAGCACCGAACUUAAAGAUAACCCCCUCGUCCCCCUUCUGUCUCUCUCCUCGGCCCAACUAGGCAACCUAAACCCAACGUCAAUAUGCAUGAGGAGCUCCAGCCACCAUUGCCGUGCUUGUGCCGCCAUCUCCAAUCAUCGUAUCGCUGCUCCUCCAUCCACCGAGCUGGGCCGUGUAUAUUAGCCAAAGGGAGAGACGAAAGAGAAGGGGAAAUCGGGAGAUGGAAUGAAUGGUGGGAUAGUCUCCGUACUCACUAGCACUUCUUCUGUAUUGUAGAAAUAAAAUGCAUGUAGGAGAGAGAGUAGCGAAGGCGAAAAAGAAUUUGCAGCUGUUCUAACAAUUUUAGUAUAGAAAACAUGUAAGAUAAGGAAUUUGAACUUGAACUUUUGGUUAUAUCAGCCUCAAAAUGACAACCAUAAAACUUCAUGGGGGGAGCCCACCCUGAUACUUCUGAGAUUCGAACUCUCGUGGACUUUGACAAUGGAGACCAAGUCAUUGCCUGUUUUAAUGGCAUUAGGAUUCCAAUGUAGCCAAACUUUCGAAGGAUAUCAGUCUUCUCAUCCCUGAGCCAUAAAUUCGCGAUCGGGAUGCUGUGGAAUGGGUCCAACUUUUCAGCGAUCGGGAAUAUUUCUUCGUACUAGAAGAUAAUUGUGUUUGUCACUGUGUAAUAGAUUCAUUGUCCCGUCAAAUCAAAUUGAUAGAAUCUUGAAGCGGGCACCUAGGGGUGCCCAUCAAGCACCGGACUUAAAGAUAACCCCCUCUUCCCCCUUCUGUCUCUCUCCUCGGCCCAACUAGGCAACCUAAACCCAACGUCAAUAUGCAUGAGGAGCUCCAGCCACCAUUGCCGUGCUUGUGCCGCCAUCUCCAAUCAUCGUAUCGCUGCUCCUCCAUCCACCGAGCUGGGCCGUGUAUAUUAGCCAAAGGGAGAGACGAAAGAGAAGGGGAAAUCGGGAGAUGGAAUGAAUGGUGGGAUAGUCUCCAUACUCACUAGCACUUCUUCCGUAUUGUAGAAAUAAAAUGCAUGCAGGAGAGAGAGUAGCGAAGGCGAAAAAGAAUUUGCAGCUGUUCUAACAAUUUUAGAAUAGAAAACAUGUAAGAUAAGGAAUUUGAACUUGAACUUUUGGUUAUAUCAGCCUCAAAAUGAUAACCAUAAAACUUCAUCUAAAAGGGAAUCGAUAAUAAUAUAUAAAAAAAUCAAAGUAUUAUUAAUUAAUUGUUUGAAGGUCUGGCGCAACAAAACUAGCAAGGAAUCACGUGGCUGAGAGAGAGAGAGAGAGAGAGAGAGAGAGAGUUUAAUAAGUCGUAGACAUAAAGUGAUUUUCCAAGAAAUAGGAUGCGAAAAUUGCUGCAGGCGAUGUGGCCCGUGCAAAGAGUCAAGUCGGUUUGGUCUUUCGUGGGCUGUGAGCUGAGAUGAAGACGAAAUGAAAUAUUCUCCCGGUGCACCCGUCAGCAUGGUCCCGGACCAAUCAUGGAAAGCCACGUGGACCGACGUUUUCUGCACCUAAAAUAGUCAUAUUUCUCUCUCAUCCAGCCUGCAUGGUGCCUUGCGCUCUCUCUCACUCUUUCCUCUGCAGAGUCUGCACGCGUUGGUUAUAUUCUCUCCCCUCUUCUUCGUUCUUUCCUUCUAAGAAGGAAAGUCAUUCCUCUCUCAAGAUGCAAGCGAAGGCUUUCAAAUUUUGAAUCACUGCUUUCGCUCUCAUUUGCUACUCCGCGCUUGUCCUUGCUGCUCCGGCAUUGGUCAAGCGGCCACUCCCCGCCGUCACCUGACACUCGCUCGGUCUCUGCUCCGGCACUUGCUCGCGCUCGCUCGCUCUUUGCUCCGUCGCUUCCUCUGUCUCUGCUCCAGCGCAGCUUUCCUUCGUGCAUUAAUCUGCCGUGGCGGCCGAGAUCUGGGAUCCCAUUUCUGCAACCACGUGCAGAGCAAAGUCGACGCCCUCCGGCAAUCCAUCGGUUGCCAUCCCAUCCCCCCCGCCCGCCGCCCCCCCUCUGUCUCUCUCUUCAGAUUCUCGUUCCAUCCACAUAAUUUUUGUUGAUCCCGUAACAAUUUUCUUCUUUCGUGGCAUUUUAGGCUUUGCGCUUCAAUAUUUUUCCAAAAAUAAAUGACGGGCAGAACAGUUUUUUUCUUUUUUUCUUUUAAGAGAGCAGUCUAAGCCAAUGAAAAACCCAGCUAAUCUCAUUUUAAACUUGGUGAAAUAAUUUUGAACUCAUACGAUGUAUGAGAAAGAAUUAAAUUUUAACUUUCCAUUUUGUGUGUAUUGAACAAUUGAUCAUUAUUGUAACGUGGCGUGUUUAAGAAUCUCUUGAAUAUCAAAGUCGUAGAUUGAUUCACCAUUUGACUUCACUAAAAAAAGAGUAUUAUUCUUUGAAACGUGUUCCCAAAAGGAGACUUUUGUUUUCCUUUUGUUUUCAAGCUUUUCGAAUUUUGCUAAGAGGAGCACUUGCUAGACGCGUCAGUAAACAAAAGUUGUCAACUUUAAUGCAUUAUUUUUUUUUCAUAUUAUAAAUAGUGGUGAAUUAAAAAUGAAAAUAUUUAUUUAUUAGGUACGGUUAGUUAGUGCCUCAAGCACACUUAUUAACAGGACCAUUUUCAUUUUAAUGUACUUAAAAAGAUAUGACUUGACAAUUAGGGGAUAUAAAUAAGGGGUAGUGACACCAAUAGUCUUUAUAAUUUUCCUUAUUGUUCAAGGGUAGUCCUAAACUUUUUUUUUUUUUUUAUUGUUCCUUAAAUUUUUAAAUUUUAGAUUGGACUAAAUCAUCACAUUUUCACACCGUUAAUCCCUAUAUUAAACGAAUAAAUAAAUAAAUAAAUAAAUAAAUAAAUAAAUAACUAAGGACGAGAGGUUGAUGGAAGUACCAGGUGGGCAAAGUCUCUGGCAGCGAUGGCAAGAAUGUCAGCACAAGAAACGACGCCGAGGCAUUUAUUUUCCACCAAGGACUUGGGUUUCGCGAUUGUCUCGAAUCCCUCCGCCCUCAAAUCUUUGUUGUCAAUCGCGUCCUUCUCGGCCAGCUCCUUGCUUCCGGGCUUGCUCGAUAUCAAUAUCGACCCUCGCGUCCCUUCCACAGUGGUCAUAACUCAUGCAGAGUCAGUAGUUUCUACGCUAGGAUUAUCGCCCUACUCGAUCGAUUAACAAAUGAACGGCGUUUACCGAUAGUAAUCUCGCUAGUUGAUGAUUCUCCAUGUUUUUCAUGGUAAUUUCUCUCGCUUGCUAUGAAAAUGAAGAGAAUUAUCGACUCGGGACCCAUGCCUGGCCGACUUUGAUUGACAGUUGUGGCGGGUUCGGGGAAUGCAAUAAUAACAAAACACGAAACACUCACCGGAGGGUUGAAUUGAAUUUUUGGUAAGAUUAGCCGAUGAAAACUGUAAUUUCUUAUUAGUGAUGUUGUACACGGACUCAUUCGUGUAGAAACAAGAAUAUGCAAGGAUUCGGUCACCGUAGAUAACAAAAGAUGCUCAAAAUGUGGGGAGCUGCUCAACUGCUAGUGGCAUCUGCCUGAAUAUUGACUUCCUCUGCUGCCAUUGCAUGCACGUGAAAGUAAGUGCACAGAGAGAGAGAGAGAGAGAGAGAGAGAGAUUUUACCUCAACGAAGCAGUCAUGGAAGAAGAGCCGGAUGGUGGCCGGCCCGGAGACCGGCGCUUCCUUGAACUGCUGGCUCGUGACCGACCCGAUGAGUUGCUUGACCUGGGGGCACGACUUGGCGUAGUAGUCAAACGACAUCUGGCGGUGGCGGCCCAUGGCAUCGGCGGCAGCAGCUGCGGUGGAUCGGUUCGGCUGGCUGCAUAUGAGGAUGAGGGCGAUGAAAAGGGUCGAUGAGCAAGNNNNNNNNNNNNNNNNNNNNNNNNNNNNNNNNNNNNNNNNNNNNNNNNNNNNNNNNNNNNNNNNNNNNNNNNNNNNNNNNNNNNNNNNNNNNNNNNNNNNCUCUCUAAUUGACAAGGUGGAGUGUGAAGGGUUGUUGCCUCGUGGGACAGAAUACCCAUGAACAGAGAGAGAGAGAGAGAGAGAGAGAGAGAGAGAGAGGGAGAGAGGAAAAUCAAGACCCGUGAAGCAGAGUCAAAAAGUAAAAGAGCUUGUACACAAAUCAAUAAUAUAAAUGAAAAUCAUGAGGGAUGGAUGACAGCAAGAGGAAAAUGUCUAUGAUGUAAUGCUUAAUGCUUGAUCCUACAGCACAUGGUGAUGCUAACACGUUGUCAAUUUGUUUUUUGGAUUGCGUAUAUGGCAUUCGGAACGCUUAAUGCCGAAGAAUGCAAAAUCGUUCGAUUCAAGUGCAUUGGGUUCCGAAUAAAAAGGUACCUUACAUUAAAUCUAAUUUUUUUUUAGGAGGAAGACAUAAUUCCAACAAGAAUAUAAGUAUCGCAUUUGCAUGAAGCGUGUCUAAUCAUUCAACCAAUUAUCGUACAGUCAUAGUUGAGGAUUCAGAACAUUCUUUGCUGUAUUUAUAAUUUCGCCGCAUUUAUAAUCUCGCGCAAUUAAAAAAGGGGAACAUUCUUCUUCCAAGUGAUAGGAUGUUCAAGACUCCUUUCAUAUAAGUCUCCCUAUCCCACACAUUGCUAAAGCCUGAAGGUCUCGUAAAACCUGAGAGAAUGACCCCAAAAGAUAGCACAUUGAUUCGUACUCAGGCCUCGGUGAAGAAGAAAAUCACCGAAGGGAAUUUUUAAAUGAACAUGAACAAGAAGAUACUAUACACGAUUGUCGUUCAGGAAUUGAGAUUUGUGGACUAGUCGAUUUUUUUUUUUUUUUUUUUUUUUGUGUCGAGCAGUGUCAUCCAACGAUUGAGAGCUAACCAUGUACAGUGCAAAGUUGUAUAAGAUGGUGGUUUUGACAAUUUGGUUGGCUAUCUGGAAAAUGUUUGGUAGUGUUUCUAAAAUAGAAGGCUGCAAAAGCUGAUUGGGGGGCGCAAUUGAAUACCAGAAAGACGCCAUACAAGCGUGAAGCUUCUUAAAUGCAGGGCAUGUGCAAAGGGAAGGACAUCACACACAUGGCGAGAUUCUCUUCACUUAGUCUUGAAAGGGUUCAGGCCAUUUGACUCCAUUGCCUUCCCCCACUGCGCUUCUCUGGUCUGUCUUCAGUGUAAAGUAAGCCUUUCUGAUUUGCGGAGUGCAGUUAAAAGCUGAGGAGGAGGACCGCCCUUCAUAAGUUAUGAUAACAUUUGUUCUCUUAUGUAUGAAAAAAAUUGAAUUUCUGUAAAAAGUUAGGUACUCAGAGAAUUGAAAUCCCACUUACAUACAUUUAUCUCAGCAACCAUUAAGCUCAAAGAAAAGUUGCAAAUUCACGUCAAAUUUGGCUAUCCGAAUAUGGAUUGAGAUAUGAUAAAAUAAUGUGAAAUUACAAAUCUUUUUAAAAUUGUGAAAAUCCCAUCUUUUAUCUUCUACAUCUAAGUUAAGAUUGAAAAUCCCAUCAAAAUGGAAAUGGAAUCAGUGGGGAAGCUUACCAACAAAGGCCUUCAUAUCGAGAGUGAGUUGAUCUACUAAAUUGAAUCUAAGUGAUUGUCCAUGCCUGCAUAUUCCUUUAGACUAUCAAUUGUUUUCAUAGUCCUACUUGAUGAUAAGAGACAUGCCUUAAUGUAUGCACAACGUGAAUGAUGUUUCUUUUGCAGGUACCGUGAUAUUCAAUGUCUAUAACAUUUUACUUCACAAAUUUAAUUUUGGUUUUGGCAUCUUUUUAGGGGAAAAAUAUGACGAACUUAUGGUGCAAAUGAUUUUUUUUUCCCACAGCCUUCUGUAUAGUAAAAGUCCAAAAUUCAAAUUGUCACUGGAGCUGGGAAAAGUAGAAUAUAAGAUCCACUAAAAUCAUAUCGAUGCAAUAAAAAAACCCUUAGGUUUCACUUGGUCUUAGAAAAUAGUUUAAUAGAAAAUUAGAAACGGACAUGUGUCACGAUCUCGUAAUGCACAUGAUCUUUAACACAACCAUACAAGAUGAUCCUCUUCUUUUGUCACAUUCAUUGUCUUGUUUUCUCGUGAAUCAUUACAGCAAAAGAGUCGGAAGGAAUACUUUUCAUAGGUUAUAUCGGAAGAACAGCAUCCAGUCACAUGGCUUAGAUGAUCUAUUUAGUAUUUACAUGUAUUUGUCAUUUUUGGACAAUACAAAACCCUAGAAACUACAAAAUGCUAGUUUGGCCAUUUCACAUACCUGCUUUGUCGAUCGACGGAAAAUGGAUUUGUACGUCUCUUGAAGACACUGUUACGAAAUCGCACGUCGAUUCCAGAAAAAUAAUGCUCGCAAACAAUUCACCAGACAGAAUAUAGUAAUAAAAGAGCAAAAUCAGAUGAACACGCCAGAAAAUUUGUUAUCGAAGUUCACCCAAACUUGGGCUACGUCUCCGCGCAGAGGCACUCUGUGAAUCCACUAGACUUCGGAAAAAGUUGGAAUACAACGACGAUCUUCUCUCAAGAUCAGGGCACAAAGAGAUUGAGAACUCUCAUCAAGAAAAAACUCAAUUUUUUCUUCUCUCUUUUUCUUGCCUCUCUAUUUCAUUUUUCAGCGUCUUGACGGCUAGGGUUUUUCCAUCGCUAAUAUAUAGGUACCACUUUUAACCUAAAAGGAAAUCUAAUAGAAAAGACAAAAAAGCCCAUAAAAACAAAUAUUUGGCUUUAUCUAUAACAAUCUCCCACUUGAAGACAAAUAUACCAAAGCACCAAGCAACUUUGCAUCCAUCUUCUUCAAAAAAUAGUAGUUGAAAAACUUGUGCCUCUGCGAUACUCCUCAUCAAUCAACAUGGAGUAAUACCAAUAGUAGUAGUACAGAAAAUAUGCUUCUCUCUGUCUACUACCUUGGUCAAUAUGUCAGCUGGAUUCUUUGAGCCAUCAAUCUUUUGUAGCUUUAAUUCAUUAUCUUUCAAUGCUGACCUGAUAAAGUGAUAACGCUUCUUGAUAUGUCUAGUUCUUGAGUGAUAAGCUGCAUUCUUUGCUAAGUGCACUGCACUUUGACUAUCACUCCACAGUAUAUUGAUUGGCUGUUUUCGAUGUAACUCCUCCAUAUAAUCUUGUAACCACAUGAUUUCCUUGGAGGCUUCUAUAAUCACUACAUAUUCUGCCUCUGUCGUCGAUAAAGCCACUAUCUUUUGUAGUUGAGAUACCUAACUCACUGCUGUACCUGCAACUGUAAAGACAUAUCCAGUGGUACUCUUACCACUAUCUCGAUCACCUGAAUGAUCUCCAUCUACAUAACCCUACAACUCUAGAGAUGUACCACCAUAACAAAGUGAGUAAUUGGAAGUACCUGCUAGAUAUCUCAAUAUCCAUUUAAUUGCAUUCCAAUGCUCUCUGCCUAGGUUCUACAUAUAUCGACUCACAACUCCCACUAUUCGUGCAAUGUCUGGUCUCGUGCUCACCAUGGCAUACAUCAAACUCCCCACUGCUGAUGCAUAUGGAACUAUCGCCAUCUCAUCUUUCAAAAGUUGAGUGUUUGGACACAUAUCCUUGGAAAGUUUGAAGUGACUCGCUAGAGGAUUUGCAACCAGUUUUGCCUUGUCCAUGUUAAAUCUCUUUAACACCUUGUUCACAUAGUCUUCUUGCGACAACCAUAAUUUAUUAUUUUCCCUGUCUCUGAUGAUUUUCAUGCCUAAAAUAUUCUUGGCAUCUCCCAAGUCUUUCAUAGCAAACUGUGAUGAUAACAUCUUCUUCACUUCUACGAUUCUCUUCAUAUUGGAACUAGCCACAAGCAUGUCAUCCACAUAUAAAUAUAGAUACACAAUGUCACAAUCAUCAUAUUUGUGAAAAUAAACAUAGUGAUCAGACUCACAGUGUGCAAAUCCUUUUUCUUGCAUGAAACCAUCAAAUUUUAAGUAUCAUUGCCGCGGAGCUUGUCAAGCCAUACAAGCUUUUUUUCAAGCGACAUACCAUGUGCUCCUUACCUUUGACUUCAAAACCCUUAGGUUGUGCCAUGUAUAAUUCUUCAUCUAAGUCACCAUGUAAAAAUGUUGUUUUUACGUCAAACUGCUCAAGAUGAAGAUCCUCCACUGCAACUAUACUUAGCAGAACUCUAAUUGAUGUCAUUUUCACUACAGGUGAAAAUAUCUCGGAGUAGUCGAUCCCUUCUUUUUGAGAAAAGCCCUUGACUACAAGUCUCGCCUUGUAUCUAAUACUACCAUCUGCUUCAUUCUUAACCCUGUACACCCAUUUGUUUAAUAAAGCUUUUUUACCUGUGGGCAACUUGGUCAACUCCCAAGUUUUGUUCUGAAGUAACGAGCUCAUCUCGUCUUUCAUAGCACACUCCCACUGCAAGUGAGACGUGUCUGCCUUUGCCUCAUCGUAAGUCUCCAGUUCCCCCGAAUCUGUAUAUAAGACAUGGCUCAGAACAAUAUUAGUUGAUGGAUCAAAAAUUACCUUUGGCUUUCUCACACGUGUAGACCUUCUUAAGACAAGUACUUCAUGGUCAUUCAUUUGCUCCGAAUCACUGCAUUCUUCUUGAACUACCUCUUCACUGAUAAUAGGCUCAUCUUGAACCUCUCUUUCAGGUGAACUUUGAUCUACUGGAAACAUCUUCACGGGCAUUAUGUCUAAUUCAACAUACUCUGGUUGUACUACCUUCUCAUGCUAUGUCUUUGUCUGACGAUCCUUAUACAUCUUUUCUUCAUGGAAUACCACAUUGCGAUUGCGGAUGACUUUGUUAUUCUCAUGAUCCCAAAGCCUAUAGCCAUACUCGUCGCCACCGUAUCCAAUAAAGACGCACUUCUGGGACUUAGCAUCAAGCUUUUUUCUAUCCUCCUUGUUAAUUAAAGCAUAUGCAAUACAACCAAACACCUUUAGAUGUGAAUAAUUAAUCUUCUUACCUGACCACCGCUCUUGUGGUAUUUCUCCAUCCAACGCACUAGAUGAACUUCUGUUGAUAAGAUAAACAGCUGCAUCAACUGUAGCGGCCCAUAAGUGUAGUGGGAGAUCCGCGUGUAGUCUCAUGCAUCUCGCACGUUCUAGAAUAGUUCUGUUCAUUCUUUCAGCUACACCGUUCUCUUGAGGAGUUCUAGGAACAGUUUUUAGCCCGUGUAUACCUUCUCGGCUCAAAUAAUUUGCAAAUUCUUUACUUGUGUAUUCACCACCAUUAUCAGAUUUCAAAGCUUUAAUCUGAUAACCUGUUUCCUUUUCUACCAUGGUUUUCCACAUUCUGAACAUCCCGAAUACUUCUGAUUUUUCUUUAAGAGCAUAGACCCAAGUCUUUCUUGUUGCAUCAUCAAUGAAUGUGACAAAAUAUCUCUUACCACCAUAAGAGAGUUCUUGAGCAGGUCCCCAUACAUCAGUAUGAACCAACUCUAGCUUCUGGCCUUUAUUUUGUCGCCAAUUCAAUUGAAAACUAACAACCUUCUGUUUUCCAUAAAUGCAACUCUCACAAAAAUCUAACUCAACUUUUUGUAAACCCAGAAGUAAUUUCCUCGAGUGUAACUGCUUUACACCUUUUUCACCAAGAUGUCCUAAAUGAUAAUGCCAAAGAGUAGAUAAAUUACUUGUAGCCAUUGUAGUUGCAACCAUAUCACUGAUAUUGUCUCCUUGGAGAAGGUAAAGUGUACCCGUACACUUUCCCUUUGCUACUACUCUUACCCCUGAGGUUAUCUUCCACUCUCCGCAACCAAAGGUUAUUACCAAACCUUCUUGGUCAAGUUUACUAGUUGAAAUUAGAUUUUUCUUUAAUUCCGGAAUAUGCCUAGUUUCAAGCAAAACUAGACGUUCUCCACCUGAGAUGUUCACAGUCACGGUUCCUUUCCCAACAAUUGGACACAUGUGGCCGUUUCCCACAACCACUUGUCCAAAAUCUCCACUGGCAUAAUCAUCAAAUAUGUCUCUUUGCGAGGUGCAAUGAAAAGAAGCGCCAGAAUCAAUAAACCAUUUAUCUGUUGUCAAGUCAAACCCUGCAGACAAACACAAGUUAUCUGGCAAAGAUUUAUCGCUAACUACAUUAGCACAUUGAUUCUCAUCUUGCUGCUUUUUUUUUUGUAGGCUUCACACUGAAACCUCCGGUGUCUGGUUUUGUGACAAAACCAACACUCAUCUUUUGCAACCUGUCUCUUACCCCUUGAUUGUGAUCUGCCACGACCGCUGAAAUUUCAUCUACUUUUACUUCUUCCACGGUUCUCCACUGCAAGUGCCGUUGAAGAUGUAGAUGCAGAAAAAUUAUCUCCACCUGAGACUUUCCUUCGCAUCUCUUCAUCCAUGAUACUACUCACAGCAUCAUCAAGAGUUAAAUCAUCCUUCAUGGUACUUGAAAUUCCCUGCACUGCGGUAUUGUAGCUUUCUGGAAGAGAACAUAAAAAUAAUAAAGCUUGAAGCUUCAUAUAUAAAUUUAUGCUGCGGAUUCCAAUUGACUCGUGACCUGCGUGAAACUAUUAAUAUGCUCUGCCACAGAACCUCUAUCAGAUAACUUCAUAUUAACCGGUUUCUUCAGCAAAAAUACCUGAUUUGAUGUGGAUGGCUUCUCAAAAAUAUUCGUUAGAAUAUCCAUAGCUUCUUUUGCAGUUUUUGCUUUCGCGAUGUGAUACCCUGUCUUUUUCGUCAACCCUAGACGAAUCGCACCUAACGCCUUUCGAUCAAGAAUUUUCCAUCCGGCUUCUGCUGUCGGAUCCACUUCCGCCAUCUCGGGUUUCCAACCCUCAAGUGGUGCAUAGAGAUCUUUUUGAUAAAUAUAAUCCUCUAUUUGUAGUUUCCACCAUCCGAAAUCCUCUCCAUUGAACUUAUCGAUUCUGAUUUUAUCUUCUGCCAUCAUGUUUGCUUUCAAUCGAACGUCACCGAAAACCCUCGAUGUUCUCGAUUAGCCAACCCAGGCUCUGAUACCAAUUGUUACGAAAUCACACGUCGAUUCCAGAAAAAUAAUGCUCGCAAACAAUUCACCAGACAAAAUAUAGUAAUAAAAUAGCAGAAUCAGAUGAACACGCCAGAAAAUUUGUUAUCGAAGUUCACCCAAACUUGGGCUACGUCUCCGCGCAGAGGCACUCUGCGAAUCCACUAAACUUCGGAAAAAGUUGGAAUACAACGCGAUAUUCUCUCAAGAUCAAGGCACAAAGAGAUUGAGAACUCUCAUCAAGAAAAAAACUCACUUUUUUUCUUCUCUCUUUUUCUUGCCUCUCUAUUUCAUUUUUCAGCGUCUUGACGGCUAGGGUUUUUCCAUCGCUAAUAUAUAGGUACCACUUUUAACCUAAAAGGAAAUCUAAUAGAAAAGACAAAAAAGCCCCUAAAAACAAAUAUUUGGCUUUAUCUAUGACAGACACAGCUUGGAAAGUCAAAGUGAGGGGUUGUCGACUCGAAAUGAUAAAAUAUUAUUGUUUUGAUCUUUACACCCUGGGAAAAGAACAAACUACGGCAGAAAACAAAUCCCCUCAUCUUAUGUAACAAUAAUAAAGACAAGUAUCUUAUGGAGGUAGCAGAGAGAAGCUUUAAAAUGACUUUGAUCCGUUCUUUUCAAAGCACCAAUUUUGCACAAAAUACAACAGUAGUUGAAAAUGAGCCAUACAUGUGAUUCAUUAAAAGCCUCGAAGUGAAGAAGGUCAACAAAAUAAUGGGGUCUGAAAGAAAAGAAAAUGUUAUCAACAUGAAAACUCAAAACUAAUAUACAUGUGAUAAAUUUUCCAUGAACUAAUCUUUUGAGUAAUAAAAAUCAUAAACUAAUACAGUUAUGACCAAUUUAUCCUCAUUUAGCUUUCGUUAAAUUUUACCGUUAAAUUUAUAAGUCGGAUGAUACGAGCUAAUUGACGAGUGUCCUGGUUUCAGAUUUUAUUUUUUAUUUGUCACACGUGUACUUGUUUGUGAUUUUUCAUAAUAUUAAUCUAAUUUAACAGAAACUAAAAGAUAUUGGGAUCUUUGAUUGUAAAAAAUUAAUUUGGGAUUUUUCGUGAUAUUAACCCAUAAAAAAAUGAGAAGGAGAAUACUAAAGUGGUGAAAGUGGAGUCCAGACCCAUGCUCGGGAAAUAUCGUCCCACAAUAUCACAUUUCCGAUAAUACGGAAGCUCGGGCUAUCUAAGUAUAAAUAUGCCCAAAUCAACCAUUUGAGGUAAGAGACUUUUGCCCCCACAUCACUCGUUACCGUCCCAAUAACAUUCGCUAAACCUCAUAUUGACUUGAGCGUCGGAAGAUCCCGAAAAUCCAUCCCUAAAGUUAUUUUCUUAUCCGUGAUGUGUAGAGUGUGUGGAGCCACGAGCUAGUCAAACGAGGAAUUCACUUGAGGAAGGUUGAGUUGCGGCUCAAUCCGAAUUCGAUGCGUAGGAACGUUCGAAAAGCCAAAGAACGUCUCUUUAAUCUCAAAGUGAUGAGUGAAAAGCUCGUGAGAAUAUAUGGCUAGUAUAGGGAGAAGUAUGAAUAUACAUGACCAGUCUACCUCGCGAUCAGUAGCGCUGUCUCCCUUUAAUCCCAGAUUGUGGAGUGAAAAGCCGGUGAGAAUCCACAGAUAGGCUAGGAGAAGUAUGAAUAUGUGUGAUCAAUCAACCUCGCGCCACAUGGCCAAUUUGGAUCUUCCAAGAGAGAAAGAGUGUAGCGGAAAGCGAGCAAAAAAAAAGACAGAACGGAAAGAAUAGAUCGGAUAUCAAAUUUACAUAAUUUUAUUAUAGUAAAUUAUGUCUACAGAGAACACCAACAAAUUUUAUUACAAUCACAUCUGAAUCACUAAAAUACUCUGUGUUUAACUUGAAAUUUUUCGUAAAAUAAUCUGUCGAUUUCAUGAAAAUAUUCACCAAUCUUGUCAUAAGGUUUCACGAUUACAAAGACGGUCCCACUCUCAAGCACUCAACAAACGGUGCUUCAAGAUCUGUUCUUUACGUCAACAACGGCGAGGAGACCACGCUGCUUAACCACGCCUUCUAACAAAACUGGAAUAUUUACAUGUGAACCAUGCAAAAGAUCUUGGUCAAAGUCAGAUCACACUUUCCUUGUUUGAGUCUUCUUCUCACGUUGAAAAGUCCAACGCCAAAUCGAACUCCAAUACGAAAUAUAACCAAUAAAGAAUAUAAAAACAAAUCAUUCAGAACUUUAUCCCUCCUCCAAAAGACCUUCAACCGAGUGAAAGUAUCUAACGUGAUAAAUAUUGGCGAAAAUAUUUAAAAGUCAAAUUUCGUUCAUGGGCACAAAUUUAAGACAUAUUUUAACAAAGAGGAUAUCAGAAGUCGAUUCGGCAGUGAAAAGAGAGAAAUGAAGACACUACCAAGCAAGUGUAGGCCCUAAUAACUAGUGAGAUGCUUGAUGUCCUGAUGCGAAAGAUGGACACACCAUCGACACAAAUUAGGUGGAAGAGGAAAAGUCUCAUGUCGAUGAAAUUAUAAUCAAAUUGCUCCUCUCGAUCUUAGAAUGUCUCCUAUUGAAUCAAAUGAUGGGACACUAGAUCGGGGGGUCACGUAGAGACCUUUAAGGUCAUGGCAAUGAUAUAUCGUCGAUAAAUAACUUCAAUGAUAAUUAAAAAUAUAAUGUUAUGUGAUACUUUAAUUGGAGAAAAUUUGGUGAGUCAUGCUUGCUUAGGAUGGGAUUGUUAAACAAGACAAAUAAGAAUUGUACCAAUAGAAAAAUGUUUAUUUAAAAUGGGAAUUUAAUUUGACAAUAGUUAGCAAAUCACUCUAAUUAAGAUUGGCAAAUUCACCUUGGUAAAUUCGAACUAUUGAAAAGUUAAACACAUAAAAAUUAGUAGUUUGCUAAUUUUUACACCAACUAAAAAAGUUAUCCAAAUCUUAUAAAACUGUUGAUAAGUUACCAACAAAUUACUUAGAAAAAAAAAAUCUCUAUUCAUUCUUUUAUCAAUAGCUCUUGACACUCACCAAUGCUAAUUAAAAUUUACCGGCACGAUAAAAAAAAAAGGUCUGCAUCUGUGGGCACAAAACAUUAGAAAUAUGCUAUUUUAAAACUCUCUAAUCGUGCCAAGUACUAUGAGUACCUUACUUAUUUCGAAUUGCUAUCAGCUUACAAUGUUAUGAAGUUUUUGUUGAUCUUCUGGUGGGUUAUUUUGGAGUCUUAUCUUUAAUUGCUUAUGCAGUAUAGCCUAAAGAAUCGAAAGCCUAAUCUGAACAUGAUUUUUUGUUCUAUGUUCAGUAACUUAAGCCUGAAAGCGAGGACCAACAGCGCUCGUUUGCGCAAAUUUCACCCUUCGCUGCUGUAAUCGAUCCUACAUUUCCCACACACAGUAUAGUUUUUGAAAGAGAACGAACAGAGUUCAAAGCCAAACGGCGAAGAAUGAGCAAUUGGCAGAUUUACAAAAACCCUUUUCUUCUUCAAACAUGUGUUUACUAGUUUUACUGUGCAAGAAGAUGUUGGAACCAAAACAAAGAUAAUAAACUUUGCAAACUUGGAAUAAGAACACUAGGAAUUGGAGGGAGAACUUUUUUAUUGAGAAUGCUUUCUCUUCUUUGUGUCUCGUGGACUAUGAUUCGUGACUUGAUUUACAACUCACAACAUCAUUCCUUUAUAUAGGAAUUGAAGUUUACAAAUGCCAAUGAUUACAUUUAAGACAUAGCAACCCACAAAUGUCAAUGAUGGGAGUUUAAUGAAGAAAACAAAAUAAGUCCAUACACGGUAAUCAUAAGCACAGUCAAAACGUAUAAAUAAAGUAAUAUAAGUCUCCAAUAACUUUCAUUUUUGAAGUCCAUACUGCCAAUUGUAAAGCUUUUAUGGCUCUUCUUCAAUGCUUGCAGGUUUCUCAUCCAGCAACCAUUGUCCAAUAAUCAAUUUUAUUUUAUUUCAAUAGGAGAUUCAGCUUUCGAAUUGACUAAGAUUCAAGAAUAUCGACGAGCUUAAAACUAGGCCACUGUACAUCGAUUUAAACUACAAAAUACUCAUCUCCGUCGCACUCAUUUCAUCGCCAGUGCUUCCUUGUUCAUGAUACUGACGGUUCCUUCUCGUGCAGAGGCACGCAAAAAGGAAACAAACCGUAUAAGCGGCGAUGGUGAAAACGAAGAGAGCCCAGAAGCUGUCGAGGCCCAACCUCGGUGUGUCGCUGGUGAAGUUCCUCAUGGUACACUCAGGACGGAACCACUUGUCCUCCAACCUUUUCAUCUCACCGCUCUCUGAAAGCUCCAAAAUGGCCUCAGAGAAGUUUGCAGCGUGUGGAGAGUCUUUUGGGAACGCCUGCACAUGAACGGGAAAGGAGAUUUUAAGUAACAAGGAAGAGCAACUCCAUAACCACUAAUAUCUAAUUUAUGUUUCCACAAUUCCCUUCUUUCUUCUCUUUUUGGCUAUACUAACACCAAGAGAAGUAGUGAUAUUCGAGUGCUAAGUGGGUUUUUGUUUAUAUAUCAGUCCACACUCUAUGUCACUGUUGGGAUUUGGUGUGGUAUUUUAGUUAUUAAGCCCCCCCUUUUUCCUUUUGACCUAGCCUUAAGAGAUACAACACGCAAACUCAGGAUCAUACUUACAAAGCCAAAACCGCCAAAUCUGUAGUUUUCACGAAUGGCAACAUAUCCAUAGCAAUACUCGGUGAAGAAAGCUCUCUCAUAUGGGUACUCCAGAAGAAGAGCGGAGAUGUUGCCACUUCUGAAUUCGUCUUCAUAGCUGGUAGUAUUGCUUAUGGGGACGAUGACAUCCUUCGAGAAGUUCAGCGUGUCAGUCAGAUGUUUACAAACGAAAGCGUCAGGGUCACAACCCACUUUUGCUUUAGAAAUUCUCAGCCAUUCCAUGGUGGUCACAGUUGGUUUGAGCUCCUGGAGAGUGAGCAUAGAGGUGAGGCCGGCCGUAUAACUCUGCGUCAAGAUCAAUGCUACAAAGAACCAAAUCACCAGCACGAUCCGAGUGAAGUUGCGGUAGACUUUGUCCCCUGCAAAAGUCGGCAAUAAAUGUGUUUUUCGUUGAAGGUUUGGGCCCGAAAGCUUGUACACGGACUAUAAUCAACAGAGAGAAGCUACUUACUUUGAGCAAAGAAGAGAGAGGAGAAAGUGAACCAAAGAGCUGUUGAGAGCUGAUUAGUCCAAGGGCCUCUAAAUUCCGGAUUGGUCGGAUGCUCCAAGAACCAAACUACCAACAUUGUGUAUAUAAGGAUGCCUCCAGAGGCAAUCCACAUCAUUGGAGUGAAAGGCUCCAUGAAGAUAAAUGCCCUGUCCGUGUCCAGUUUUGCGGGGACUAUCAUUGAAAGUUCCGAUGCCAUAAACGGUUGUGUGAACUCAACAAACUGUGAGCGACUGGCCAGAAUGGUUAUGUCACCGACUGCAGCGUCGUAGGUCUUCCAUUAAUUUUAUGCCAUGAAACAACAUCAAAGCGAGCCACUUUAGGAAUUGAUACCAAAAUUGCACUAUCAAAUCAGAACAUUGGUAUUAACAGGAUGUGGGGCUUUGACGGUCUAUUAAUGCAAAGUGAUCCAAUCUUGUGAGUGAAAAUUGAUAUCUGCGUGAAAUGAACUUGUUGCUUGGGUUAAUUUAUUCAGGCUCUGAUGGUUUGUGCAUCAGAGAAUGUAACAGUUGAUACUCUACAAUAAGAUCAUGCAUCAAUCAUGCAGGAAUAGAGAUGAUGCGGUACCAUACCUUAUUACGAACUUUGUUAACCAACUCCUCAUAUGUUCCAUCAUGACGAGAAAACUCAUAGUCUAAACCAUCAGGAAAAUGAGAAACAGCCUUCUCAAAAACAUCUAUGCAAAAGCCAAUGUACUUUGCUUUCCCGGUUGUGUCGUCCCUUUCCUCCUUCACAAACUUAUCAAAGGAAGUUUUACCAGGAACUCCGAUCACCAUGGGCUUGUUCUCAACAGAAGUCCGUUCUUCUUGGGUCUUGGAUAUGUCUGCAAUUGCAUAUGCAUUCCUUCUCGAACCUUGUUUUGCCACAAAACUCCUCGAGAAACCGAAAUUGGGGGACCAAGGCUUAAGCUCUCUAUAUUCUUUUCCAUUAACACUCACAAGUUGAAGUUUGGGUCGAUAUGCCAACUGACCAUUCUCAAAUUGUAUUGGCCCGCUCAAACCCAUGAGUCUGGUGUGCGAUAUUCUAUUAAGCAAAAUCUCAGGCAUUAUAUCAUUGCUCGGCCCUGCAUCUAUGGCAUUUUUAACUGUCAUAAUGCAAUCGUAUGCUCGAACAGCAUCGAUUGCUGGCUCAAAAUUGAACUUCUCUCCAUACUUGCGACGAAACAUAUUCAAGAAUUUAGAUCUGAAUCCUCUAUAUGCCUGGUUUUUGGGACGGUAGGUGAUUAUUCCUAUCGCAUCUUCGACAGGGGAGGAGAUUGCUGAAUGAUCUACUGAAGUUAGGAGAUUGGUGAAUGGUUUUUCAGCAAAUAUCCAAAUUGAAUCUCCGUAGAAGAGUCCCAUCUUCUUUG
Molecule: long non-coding RNA, 19484 nt
Filed under: Eucalyptus grandis
Lineage: Eukaryota; Viridiplantae; Streptophyta; Magnoliopsida; Myrtales; Myrtaceae
Description: long non-coding RNA (EGRA_LNC003025)
Source: RNAcentral